Molecule: ribosomal RNA, 458 nt
Filed under: uncultured bacterium
Lineage: Bacteria
Description: partial 16S ribosomal RNA
Rfam family: Bacterial small subunit ribosomal RNA
Source: RNAcentral
CCUACGGGGGGCAGCAGUGAGGAAUAUUGGUCAAUGGGCGAGAGCCUGAACCAGCCAAGUCGCGUGAGGGAGUACUGCCCUAUGGGUUGUAAACCUCUUUUGUCGGGGAGCAAAAGCCGGACGUGUCCGGCUGUGAGAGUACCCGAAGAAAAAGCAUCGGCUAACUCCGUGCCAGCAGCCGCGGUAAUACGGAGGAUGCGAGCGUUAUCCGGAUUUAUUGGGGUAAAAGGGUGCGCAGGCGGAUUUUUAAGUCAGCGGUCAAAUCGUGGGCCUCAACCCCAUCCAGCCGUUGAAACUGGGGAUCUAGAGUGUGCGAGAGGUAUGCGGAAUGCGUGGUGUAGCGGUGAAAUGCAUAGAUAUCACGCAGAACCCCGAUUGCGAAGGCAGCAUACCGGUGCACAACUGACGCUCAGGCACGAAAGCGUGGGUAUCGAACAGGAUUAGAUACCCUGGUAGUC